Molecule: small nuclear RNA, 60 nt
Filed under: Otolemur garnettii (small-eared galago)
Lineage: Eukaryota; Metazoa; Chordata; Mammalia; Primates; Galagidae
Description: U7 small nuclear RNA (ENSOGAG00000023475.1)
Source: RNAcentral
GUAUGUUACAGCUCUUCUGGAAUUGGUUUAGCACAUUUUAUGGUCCUUACCAGAAGACAC